GCAAGUGGAAGUUCAGCUAAAACUGGCACGUCCUGUGCCAACGCUGAACUGACCCACAUCCUGUGGA
Molecule: small RNA, 67 nt
Filed under: Pontibacillus chungwhensis BH030062
Lineage: Bacteria; Bacillati; Bacillota; Bacilli; Caryophanales; Bacillaceae
Description: Bacillaceae-1 RNA
Rfam family: Bacillaceae-1 RNA
Source: Rfam by way of RNAcentral